This 482-nucleotide ribosomal RNA is filed under the name uncultured bacterium. RNAcentral's name for it is "partial 16S ribosomal RNA". It matches the Rfam family "Bacterial small subunit ribosomal RNA", at positions 30 to 507 of the family's 1533-position model. The record is from RNAcentral.
AUUGAACGCUGGCGGCAUGCUUUACACAUGCAAGUCGAACGGUAACAGGCCGCAAGGUGCUGACGAGUGGCGAACGGGUGAGUAAUGCAUCGGAACGUGCCCAGUCGUGGGGGAUAACUACUCGAAAGAGUAGCUAAUACCGCAUACGAUCUAUGGAUGAAAGCGGGGGACCGUAAGGCCUCGCGCGAUUGGAGCGGCCGAUGUCAGAUUAGGUAGUUGGUGGGGUAAAGGCUCACCAAGCCAACGAUCUGUAGCUGGUCUGAGAGGAGGACCAGCCACACUGGGACUGAGACACGGCCCAGACUCCUGCGGGAGGCAGCAGUGGGGAAUUUUGGACAAUGGGCGCAAGCCUGAUCCAGCAAUGCCGCGUGCAGGAAGAAGGCCUUCGGGUUGUAAACUGCUUUUGUACGGAACGAAACGGCUCUGGUUAAUACCCGGGGCUAAUGACGGUACCGUAAGAAUAAGCACCGGCUAACUACGUG